This 476-nucleotide ribosomal RNA is filed under the name uncultured organism. Its description in RNAcentral is "bacterial SSU rRNA". It matches the Rfam family "Bacterial small subunit ribosomal RNA", at positions 28 to 507 of the family's 1533-position model. The record is from RNAcentral.
GAUGAACGCUAGCGGCAGGCCUAACACAUGCAAGUCGAGGGGUAGUAUAGCAAUAUAUGAGACCGGCGCACGGGUGCGUAACGCGUAUGCAACCUACCUUUUACAGGGGGAUAGCCCAGAGAAAUUUGGAUUAAUACCCCAUGGUGUAUUUAAGUGGCAUCACUUGAUUACUAAAGUUCCAACGGUAAAAGAUGGGCAUGCGUCCUAUUAGCUAGAUGGUAAGGUAACGGCUUACCAUGGCUACGAUAGGUAGGGGUCCUGAGAGGGAGAUCCCCCACACUGGUACUGAGACACGGACCAGACUCCUACGGGAGGCAGCAGUGAGGAAUAUUGGACAAUGGGCGCAAGCCUGAUCCAGCCAUGCCGCGUGCAGGAAGACGCAUCUAUGGUGUGUAAACUGCUUUUGUACGGGAAGAAACACUCCUACGUGUAGGAGCUUGACGGUACCGUAAGAAUAAGGAUCGGCUAACUCCGUG